CAGCCGCCGCGGGAAUACGAAGGGGGCUAGCGUUGUUCGGAUUUACUGGGCGUAAAGCGCACGUAGGCGGAUCCUUAAGUCAGAGGUGAAAUCCCAAGGCUCAACCUUGGAACUGCCUUUGAUACUGGGGAUCUCGAGUUCGGGAGAGGUGAGUGGAACUGCGAGUGUAGAGGUGAAAUUCGUAGAUAUUCGCAAGAACACCAGUGGCGAAGGCGGCUCACUGGCCCGAUACUGACGCUGAGGUGCGAAAGCGUGGGGAGCAAACAGGAUUAGAGACCCCUGUAGUCCCUGUCUCUUAUAC
RNAcentral lists this ribosomal RNA (301 nucleotides) under uncultured bacterium. RNAcentral's name for it is "partial 16S ribosomal RNA". It matches the Rfam family "Bacterial small subunit ribosomal RNA", at positions 509 to 807 of the family's 1533-position model. The record is from RNAcentral.